UGCGGGGUGGAGCAGUGGCAGCUCGUCGGGCUCAUAACCCGAAGGUCACAGGUUCGAGUCCUGUCCCCGCUACCU
This 75-nucleotide transfer RNA is filed under the name Anaerolineae bacterium CG2_30_64_16. RNAcentral's name for it is "tRNA-Met". It matches the Rfam family "tRNA". From Rfam's summary of the family: Transfer RNA (tRNA) molecules are approximately 80 nucleotides in length. Their secondary structure includes four short double-helical elements and three loops (D, anti-codon, and T loops). Further hydrogen bonds mediate the characteristic L-shaped molecular structure. tRNAs have two regions of fundamental functional importance: the anti-codon, which is responsible for specific mRNA codon recognition, and the 3' end, to which the tRNAs corresponding amino acid is attached (by aminoacyl-tRNA synthetases). tRNAs cope with the degeneracy of the genetic code in two manners: having more than one tRNA (with a specific anti-codon) for a particular amino acid; and 'wobble' base-pairing, i.e. permitting non-standard base-pairing at the 3rd anti-codon position. RNAcentral also lists the same sequence under 3 other names. Lineage: Bacteria; Bacillati; Chloroflexota; Anaerolineae. The record is from RNAcentral.